This 253-nucleotide ribosomal RNA is filed under the name uncultured bacterium. RNAcentral's name for it is "partial 16S ribosomal RNA". It matches the Rfam family "Bacterial small subunit ribosomal RNA", at positions 524 to 776 of the family's 1533-position model. The record is from RNAcentral.
UACAGAGACUGCAAGCGUUAUUCGGAUUCACUGGGCGUAAAGGGUGCGCAGGCGGCCGUGUGUGUCAGGUGUGAAAGCCCGGGGCUUAACCCCGGAAUUGCGCCUGAAACUACAUGGCUAGAGCAUUGGAGAGGGUAGCGGAAUUCACGGUGUAGCAGUGAAAUUCGUAGAUAUCGGGAGGAACACCGGUGGCGAAGGCGGCGACCUGGGUAGAUACUGACGCUGAGGCGCGAAAGCGUGGGGAGCAAACAGG